This is a long non-coding RNA of Prosopis cineraria, 5210 nucleotides long. RefSeq lists it as uncharacterized. The record is from RefSeq and is a predicted model, not a curated record. The transcript is spliced from 6 exons. Lineage: Eukaryota; Viridiplantae; Streptophyta; Magnoliopsida; Fabales; Fabaceae.
GUCACCUCCUCCUCUACGCUAAUUCCAUUCCCUCCGCUCUUCCAUUGCCUGGGUACUCUAAAGCCUCUCUUUAAUCUUUCCCAUGCGAAGGCACUAUCGUAAGGAUUGCUAGGGUUUGCAUCUAUGAAAGCAUUUGGCUUCUCAAAAUUUGGCAUCAGUUUUGAACAAGAGCCGAGGCAUGAUGCAGUGGGCGAAUCAAAUGGAACCUAAGUAAAGUUUGGAAGAAAGUAUUGCUCAUCGAUGCAUUUGGUUUUGAAGAAAUAAUAGGAUCUUCAAUGGUGCCACUGCUAAUACUAGAUUUGCUCAGUUCUUCACUAAACCAUUGAUGUCUGUUGAUACUACGACAAGGAAAAUUAAAGCUGUUGACUGUGGGGAGAAUUUUUUAGCCUCUAAACUGUGCUGGAUGCCAGAAGGACCUAGUGAGGAGGAAACUGUUCUCUGUGAAGUUAGUAGUCAACCAUGCUUGGUGGGAUCAUUGUUUGUAAUAUUCAACCUUUUUUCUAGAACAAUCUUAAUUAAUGUCAUUUUGAGCUUAUUAAUGCUAAAAGAAAUAAUUCUGAUCUUUAAUGCUUGUUCCUAUGUAUUUGAGUACUUUACUGAAGGAUCUUUCUCUGGAGCUAGUUGAAGUGCUUCUCAUCGGCGAUCCUGAUACUGAUAAGUUUGAAUUAUCUCCUGACGUUGCUCUGUGUUUUGAAUUCAAGUUCUUUAUCUUUGUUGCUGUGAUUUAACCAGUGUUCUGCUUACAUGGACGUUUGUGUCGGCUCCAAACGGUCUCGAAGGCUUUGAACAUUUCCCUGGUAAAGUUUGACUUUUUGAGCAGGUCGUUGUGUCUGCUUACAUUUAUAAUUUCAUAUGCAUCGCACAACUUCGAUAGCUUUCGUAAGAAGAGUUCUUUGAAAGCCUAAAAUAAUUUUUUAUUUUUUUCUUAAAAUAUUUUUAUUAAGAUUACCAUGUUUUUGUUGCUCAUUUUUAAUUCUCAUGUUUUAGGCAAAAAAAAAAAAGAAAAUCUCAUGUCUAUUUUUAUACUAUCAAGCAUAUAUUUUACAUCGCAAGAUUCUAUUCUAUUCUCAUCUUUAUUCCUAUUUUCAUUCUAUUAGAUAUCUUUUCGUUCCACCAAAUAUGGUCUUACAACAGGGCCUCACUCAUUUUGCCAAUUUCUAUUUUCUUUGAGAGAGUUUUGUAACGGCCUUUCUGGAUAUUUUAUUGUUAACCCAAAUCUAGCUUCUUCUUGUACUACUUUUCCCCAACUCCCAUGUUUAUUAAUAAAAGUUGAAGACAUUAAAUUUAUCUCAAUUUUAAAACUGGUAACAUUUGAGCCACAAAUUUAAUGUCUCGGUCUAAUUAUUUUAGUAAUUUAUCAAUUAUACUUACGCCAUAACUCAAGUUAAAGAAUUUAUAUUUACACCAACCAUUACUUUGGUGUUAACAUUGGUGCUUUUGAGGAGGCUUUAGACAUGGUGAGCCCACUGUUGUGGUCUCCUUCAUUUCCUAUUUCCUGUGAUAAUUUUCUUUCACAAGAUCUGAUGUUAGGCCAUGGUUUGUCUUCCAAAUUUGCUCAAUUCUUCAUCGAAUCAAUUAGAUCUGCUGAUGUUACCAUGAGGGAAAUGAUUCUAUAUGGCAUAUUGAAAUUUAAUUUAUAUGGUAUGUUGCAUUUUGAUAUUUUAAAGGGAAAAAAGGGUGAUUGGCUUACGGGGCGGAUCUUUUUUUGUGGGAUGGGUCUUGUAAAUAGGAGCCCCCUGUAUAAAAUGGGGCCUAAUGUGUUUCAUAAAAUAGAAAAAAAGGGGGGGUAUAUUUUUUAUUGGAAAGUCAGAGGAGUUAUUUGACAAUCUUUUCCUUUACAUGUGGUUUUCAUCCCUUUACCCCUUUAGGUCCCCUUCCUUUGAAUCUUUGGAUGACAUUAAUCUUGAAUCCUUUCUGGCGUAGCUUUUUCUCUCGUGCAGACAUGAUGCAAUGGGCCAAUCAAAUGGAAUCCAAGCAAAGUUUGGAUGAAUGUAUUCCUCAUCGGUGUAUUUGGCUUUGAAGAAAUAAUGGGAUCUUCAAUGGUGCCAAUACUAGGCACUAGCAGAUCAAGAUAGGAAGCUAUGUCAAAUUAAAGUCCUUGGGACGUAUGGGAUUUAUGUUGGAAAGAAACGAUUUAGAUUUUCUAUCAAAAAGUGAAGGGGAAGUUACUGUUCAUGUUGGAAAUACAGGUUAGAUGACUAAAAUUCACCAUAAUUUUUUAUGUGUAUAGUUUAAGAUAUUUUACUAAGGUUAUCAUGGUCAGUUGCUCAUUUUUGUUUCCCAAUGCUUUCUCUAUUUUUAUUCUACCAGUGCGACUAAUAAAAAACUGUUCUUAUUUCUUUUCCUAUCUUCUAUAUAUAUUUCAAAUUACAAAUCCUAUUCUACUCUCUUUUAUAUUCCCAUCUCCAUUCUAUUAAAAAUCUUUGCAUUCAAUCAACCACGGACGUGAAGAAUACGUACAAUCAUCUAUAAUUGAUUUUCCAUUUUUGACCGAUUGAUUGUAGUUUUAUUUAUCACACCAUGUCAUGCUUCCGUUGUGUUUCAAUUUUAAUUUUGUUUUAGUGAGUUUUGUUUCAAUUUUAAUGCCUGUAGCUGUAAUUAACUUAUUUCCAAUCACCAUUCACCUUCCCACCUGAUUGAUUGAUUCUGCAGUCUUGUUAAUAAUAUCAUCUGCAAAUAGCAUCAGUUGCCUUUGUAGGGUUUGCUGUGAAGGGCGCUGCGAGUAGGCAAUGAAAGGUAGAACUGGAGGUAUUUUUGUCGAUGUAUUUGGCUUUGGAAAUCUUCAUUCUAUAUACCAAACAUGAAAGCAUGGCUUUCAUGUUGUAAAGAUCUGGGAUAUGGCCCGUGUCUUUCCAUAAAAAAUGGAUGAAUAUUUGCUUCUCAGGUUGGAAAUACUAGUAAAAUGACUAAUCCAUCCUAAUUUUUUAAUAUUUAGUUUAAGAUAUUUUCAUUAUUUUUUAUUAAGGUUAUUAUGGUCAGUUGCUCUUUUUAGUUCCCAUUACCUCUCUAUUUUUAUCCUAUCAAUCAAAUAUAUAAUAAAAAAUAUUUUUAUUUCUUUUCUUAUUUACCAAAUAUAUUUUAAAUUGUAAAAUUCUCUCCUAUUCUCGUCUCUAUUCUCAUUUUCGCUCCAUCAAAUGUGAUUUCUAGCCUUUGUGGCCUCGCUUGUUUGAUUGCUGUAUUUUUCGUGAUAUCUUAUCAUAUUAAAUCAUGUGCAUAAAAAAAUUAUAAAUCUUGAAUUCAUCUCAAUUUUAGAAACCAGUAACAAUGCAAAUUUAAUGGCCUAGAAUAUUUGUAUUAGUAAUUUAUGAAUUAUAUUUACAUUUUUUAUAUCAUCCAAUUAUAUUUACAUUUUUUAUCUACAAAAUUAAUGACGGUCUAAAUUUUUAAUUUCUUAAUUUCUUUAAGAAAAGUUGCGUGAAUGCUACUCUAUUCUAGUACUAUUUAAUUGUGAGAUGGUGCUUGGACCAUUAUUCCACUGUCGUCUGAGCAUUGGUUUUACAGCUAUGCGAAGAAACGGCAUCUGUUCUAAUACUACGUCUGAUGCGAGGUCAUCAUCGUCUGACAGUUUGAAGAAAUGGCAGGUUUUGCAGCGAUAGCCUCUUCGUCCCUCGUUUGUACAGUGCUGGGUUUUAUUAUUCAUCAACCUCCUUUCCACUCCUUUUUCUUUCCAUUCUAAUUUUCAAAGUGGUAACUGCUGCAACCUCUUUUGCUGUUUCUGUGACAUGUUUGUUUUGAUGCUUGUAAAUAGUUUCCCCGCUAAUACUGGCAAAGAUGGAAAAUGGCCCAUCUUAAGAUCCAUUUAGAAACUUCAUGCAUCCCAAACGUCGCAAAACCCUUGCUGCGGUUGACAAUGAUCAAUGAACAAUAUAUUCCCAACUAACAAAUCACGAACCUUGAGAGGGCUGAAUUCGUCUGAUCGGCACUGCUUGCGCGUGGUGAAAGUCGAAAGCACGAGUCGCACGCUACAUGACUGCAAUGCAGGGACUCGUGUCGCGGAUGUGAUGCAAUGGGCCAACUAAUGGAAUCUAAGCAAAGAUCAGAGGCUCUGUCGAAUUAAGGCCGAAGCUGUCAAUGGUAGCUUAGACUGGAGACACAAGUGGGAUAUAGUCUCGGCGGCUGCCGUGGGAUAAUCCGAAACCAUAAGGGCAACAUGACGCGGAGGUACCCUCUCCCCCACGCGAACAACAAUCAGAAAAGUUGCAGUUUUGUUCGAGGAUGAAAGAUUAAAUGAUGGAUUUUGAUUGUUCCUGUGCCUGAUAUUUGAGUACUAGAGGAAUUGUGGAGAAUGCAGAGUUGCUGAGUUGGAAGAGAAAUGAAAUGUUGCUGUCCACUUGGCUGCCAGCACGUUUCUCUCUUGGGAUUGAGAGGAAGUGACAGAAGAGAGAAGAGAGGAAAGAAGCGACUACAAAUUGACGAUGGCGGUGGGGAAGGAAGAGGUAGAUAUUUUUAAAGCUCGCUCGGACAAGAGGGAUUACAGAAGGAUCGUUCUUCGAAACUCACUUGAAGUGCUUCUCAUUGCGAUCCCAAUAUCGAUAUGGUUGAAUCUUCUCCCAAUGUUGUUUUCUAUUUUGAAUUCUAGUCUUUUUUAAAUUAUCUGUGUCUGUUAUUUUUCUAGUGUCGACUCCUUCAAUGAUCCAGACAGUCUUGAAGGCCUUGCCCAUUUCUUGGGUAUAGUUUGACUUUUUGAUGCGGUCAUCGGGUUUUGUUAAAUUUUUUAUACUUUGAACGACGUCGAUUGUGGGGGAAGGGUCUUUCCUUUUCGGUUCAAGAUGGGGGAAGUGGUGGGAAAAGGAGGUAAGGAAAAGGAGAGGCACCUUCCCCCCUCCCCACCGCCCACAAAAACGCCGGCAGCGGCUACUACUUUGAUAGCUUUUCAGUUUUGAAUAUUUUUAUUUUGCUUGCUGCGUUGGUAAAAACUCGGUGUUGUUGGAGAGUUGCAUGUUCCAAUAUACUUUAAAAUUAAAAUUACUUUCUGCAUGAAUAAUCAAUAAUUGCCGCCCAGCUAUUGUCAAGUUGACUUUAACAAUAGAUGGCUUCCCACCCAAAGAGAGACAAGAAAUAAGGAGAAUGAUAGACCUAAUCUGGUUAGCAAGAAUUCAAUUUAUAUUUUAACAUAGAUUGCUCACCUUAAGGGCGCUUUAUCUGAGGAUGUGAUGGGAAUGCUACUUAUUUAAAAAAUUAUAACCUGAUGAUCAGUUGAUUUUUGUUGC